Molecule: long non-coding RNA, 231 nt
Filed under: Lathyrus oleraceus (garden pea)
Lineage: Eukaryota; Viridiplantae; Streptophyta; Magnoliopsida; Fabales; Fabaceae
Description: Pisum sativum (pea) long non-coding RNA (PSAT_LNC013814)
Source: RNAcentral
UAGGAUACAACUCAAUGGCAAUUAAUCCAUACCAAAACCAAAAAAUUGAAACCACGAACAUGACAUAAACAGAGUUGGAGAGAAAUGACUCAGAUUUACCGACACCGCUUAGUCAAUGAUGCUGCUCCAAAUCGUUGAGGUAGAGCUCCUUUAUUUCAUACACGUCCUUGCUGCAAAGAAAAAGCCUAUUGCUGGGUUUCGACUGGAACAUGCGAAAUCCGAACCAUCACG